This 449-nucleotide ribosomal RNA is filed under the name uncultured bacterium. RNAcentral describes it as "partial 16S ribosomal RNA". It matches the Rfam family "Bacterial small subunit ribosomal RNA", at positions 29 to 523 of the family's 1533-position model. The record is from RNAcentral.
AACGAAUGCUGGCGGCAUGCCUAACACAUGCAAGUCGAACGAGAUCUUCGGGUCUAGUGGCGCACGGGUGCGUAACGCGUGGGAAUCUGCCCUUUGGUUCGGAAUAACAGUUGGAAACGACUGCUAAUACCGGAUGAUGACGAAAGUCCAAAGAUUUAUCGCCAGAGGAUGAGCCCGCGUAGGAUUAGCUAGUUGGCGUGGUAAAGGCGCACCAAGGCGACGAUCCUUAGCUGGUCUGAGAGGAUGAUCAGCCACAGUGGGACUGAGACACGGGCCAAACUCCUACGGGAGGCAGCAGUGGGGAAUAUUGGACAAUGGGCGAAAGCCUGAUCCAGCAAUGCCGCGUGAGUGAUGAAGGCCUUAGGGCUGUAAAGCUCUUUUACCCGGGAUGAUAAUGACAGUACCGGGAGAAUAAGCUCCGGCUAACUCCGUGCCAGCAGCCACAGUAA